AUCAUUCUCGUCUGAAAGCAGUGCCCGCUCCUGAACGGUGGACUGUCCAGCUUGCAGAAAAGACUGCCAGCGAUGAUCUGGGACUUAAACUGUUAUUCAAAAGACAAUAAGGUCUGCUGGGAAUGCCCUGUGAUCUCUUUGGACAGUCGCAGCGCACUCCCCCUGAGAACUCUGAGUAUUGGUUGUGUUUAUUUUCAUAGGGCCGGCCUAACCUGGUGGCCUGGUCCCUUUUGUUUUUAAUCUGCCUACUAUUGGUAAUUGUUAUUUUGUGGGUAUUUGGGGAAUUGUAAUUGUUAGACCCUAGGGUCACCUGCCCAGCAUGAGUUCAGGUCCAGGGUCUGCCACAGUGGUACUCUUUGUCAUAGGGACACUCCUCUCGUUACCUCCUGUUUCCCCCCAGGCACAUGCGGGAUGGAGAGGAAUCCCUACUAACUUGGAAACAAACACAUAUGAGUCCCUGAAGGUUUGCUUUGCCCAAGAGUUUAACCUCUCUAUCUGCUGGGUAGAUAUCCCACACCACGCAGUAGGGUUACCUUGGAGGGUGGUCCCCCAAAAUUGGUCAGAUAUCUGUUGGGGAUGGUUCAGGAGGGGAAGAAGUACCUCGGGUACCCCCUUGUCACAAAACUGUACCAUUGAAUCCCAGUAUGCAUUAAGGGACAACCCCUGGAAGCCGCAGGCCAACUCAACGCAUCUCCCUUCCCCUAUUAGGUUGCAGUCAGUGGCCCCCGGGUUGGUGUGCUAUCGACAGUUCAAGUCUAGCAAUCACACCUGGCCUGCUGGAAAUAGCACCUGUCAGUAUUAUUUAUCCCCUGACAGUAACACUUCCAUCCCUGUCUAUGUUAACGGCAAAUCCAACUCUACCGCCCGGUUCGGAACGUUUAGUGACACCCAAACAAAUAGGUGGAGUAGCGGUUAUAAUGGCUUGGUAGGGAAUGGCCACUCCUUUUACAUUUGCGGUACCUCUGCCUAUAAGUGGCUACCGCAUCGGUGGUAUGGCAGCUGCUAUCUAGGAUAUCUUGCCCCUCCCCUUCGUGUCCUCCCUAAACUGCCCCCUGGCCGCCUCAAGCAGCGUAGAUCUUUGUAUGCCACCCCAGAGCCCAUUACGGAAGGAGAUAGGUUGGGUAUGAUCCUCCUCCCAUCCUAUGGGGUGGGACGGCUAACCCAAUUUUAUCGUAGGCUCUCUGUGUUUCUCACCAAGUAUGCCAAUGAGACCUUAGCCAUAGAGAAAAGCCUUAACUCAGAGCUUUACCAGCU
Molecule: long non-coding RNA, 1254 nt
Filed under: Chrysemys picta bellii (western painted turtle)
Lineage: Eukaryota; Metazoa; Chordata; Testudines; Emydidae
Description: lncRNA (ENSCPBG00000014045.1)
Source: RNAcentral